UUUGUAGAAUGAACCGGCGAGUUACGAUUUGUUGCAAGGUUAAGCGGAAAAAGCGGAGCCGUAGCGAAAGCGAGUCUGAAUAGGGCGCAUAAGUAACAGGUCGUAGACCCGAAACCAGGUGAUCUACCCAUGUCCAGGAUGAAGGUAAGGUAAUACUUACUGGAGGUCCGAACCCACGCACGUUGAAAAGUGCGGGGAUGAGGUGUGGGUAGCGGAGAAAUUCCAAUCGAACUUGGAGAUAGCUGGUUCUCUCCGAAAUAGCUUUAGGGCUAGCCUCGAGGUAAAGAGUCAUGGAGGUAGAGCACUGUUUGGACUAGGGGCCCUUCUCGGGUUACCGAAUUCAGAUAAACUCCGAAUGCCAUGUACUUAUACUCGGGAGUCAGACUGCGAGUGAUAAGAUCCGUAGUCGAAAGGGAAACAGCCCAGACCACCAGUUAAGGUCCCCAAAUAUAUGUUAAGUGGAAAAGGAUGUGGGGUUGCUUAGACAACCAGGAUGUUGGCUUAGAAGCAGCCACCAUUGAA
RNAcentral lists this ribosomal RNA (522 nucleotides) under Listeria monocytogenes. RNAcentral describes it as "partial 23S ribosomal RNA". It matches the Rfam family "Bacterial large subunit ribosomal RNA", at positions 607 to 1126 of the family's 2925-position model. Lineage: Bacteria; Bacillati; Bacillota; Bacilli; Caryophanales; Listeriaceae. The record is from RNAcentral.